This is an RNA transcript of Lates calcarifer (barramundi perch), 3213 nucleotides long. It is a transcript of the gene named ABI family, member 3b, with no coding region annotated. The record is from RefSeq and is a predicted model, not a curated record. Lineage: Eukaryota; Metazoa; Chordata; Actinopteri; Centropomidae. The transcript is spliced from 8 exons.
UCCUGUGGAGUGCUACAGUGUCAGCAGAAGUCUACCUGCUGCAGCCCUGCCCCGCAACCAGCUGCUGUGGGACGGAGAAAAUCCGUACCCUCCGGUAAUUCCGCGUUCACGACCGACCAAACGCCUCCCUGCCUCGACUGACUCUUAGCAAAAAAAAAAUCUCCUCAGGUAGCGUGAAGUACAUCUUUAAGGGAUUUUAAAAAAGGUUUUGUUCGCAGCCGAAAAGGGAGAAAUGACGGAACAAAAGAACUUUUCCGAAGUUAUUACUCAGAUAUUACAAGAGGCGCCAGAAGCCAAAAAACAUCUUGGUGAUAACCACAGCAACCUCCUGCGAGUGGCAGAUUACUGCGAAAACAAUUAUCUUCAGGCAGAGGAUCAAAACAAGGCUGUUGAAGAAGCCAAGGCUUUGGCUACCCAGGCGCUGGCCAGUGUGACCUACCAGAUCAACAGUCUGGCCACCACUGUGCUGAGACUGCUGGACUCACAGGCCAUGCAGGUUAAAGAUAUGGAGUCCUCUGUCAAUUUGCUCUCACUGGCUGCAGCUAUCCACUUUGAGAAGGUAGCCAGGAGAGAGAUUGGGGUUUUUACUACUCCCAAAAACAGGAGUCGCUCCAAGCUCAUGACCCCGCCGCCCUCAGGCAAGGAGCCAGAGAGAGGCUACUCAAGAGUGCCAAUAUCAUACUCCAUCUUGGACUCCAUUGGACAUUGUUUUCAGGUCACUGAGGCACAGCCCAGAAAGAGAGCAGACAGCAUACAGAGUACUGCAGACACCCCUGUAUCCAGUCUGGGCAUCGCUGUGCCUCCACCAUCAGUCCCCACCCGGCAAACUGUCACCAACCCCACCAACGAUGGCCUGCCUCCCCCUCCUCCUCCUAACGCUGACCUGGUCUCAGCUCCUCCACCUCCCCCUUCCUCCAUGGACGCUGGCCUCCCCCCUCCGCCCUCCUUGACUUCACCCACAUGUCUCCCCCCACCUCCCCCUCCGCUGGCUACCAGUCCAUCAAAUGGCACCUACCCACCUCCGCCUCCCCCUGUAGGAGGAGGUUCCCCUCUUCCUCCUCCACCCCCGCCUCCACCGUCAUCAGGAGCUGGUCCUCUUCCACCUCUGCCUCCACCCCCACCAGUGUCAGGAGCUGUGCCCCCUCCCCCUCCUCCCCCUCCUCCUCCUCCUCCUCCACCGCUUCAUACUGGCACCUCUGGUAAUGUGCCACCACCUCCACCACCGCCUCCUCCACCUCCUCCUCUCCUACAUUAACAAACAACUUUGUUUUAUUUUUGCCAAAGUAAAGCAAUUAAGAGUGUGAGUAGCCAUUCUUGGUUUAUACUAUGAGAUGGUUAUGUAAAACUUGUGUAGCAAGUAAGACAUUUUCAAGCCUGUUUUGAGAUCAACAUUAAGCAUAAAUAAAAGUUCGAAAGCAUGUUUGUAUUGGUAUAACCUCAAGCCAUUUCAUCUGUGUUGAAUGGCACAGUAAGAGCCUCAAAUGAUAUUUUUUCUAGGAGAGAAAAUCCCACUUCAGACUAAAACAUUCUGCUGUGCUGAACAUGUUUCAACAACACCUUGACUGCAUUCCUAAGAAACAUGCUGAAACAGGGAUUCAUGCACUUCCAAGUUAUCCUCUUAGUUUUUUCCUGUAAUGUGAUUCCCCUUUUUUAUUACAUCUUUGUGUAAUUACAAUGUUGCCUAAUCAGUAAGAGUCACCUUAAAAGUCAGUGGCCUUCAAUGCAACACUGCAUGGUGAGAGAGGUGUCAAUGAUGAUGUUGUUUUACGUCACUGGCUGCAACCUCGGUGAGUUCUGCUACUUAAAACAGGUCAAUGAGGCUGUAAAAUGUCUGUUGCAAGUCAGCACUCUACUCAACCUGCACUACAUGGCUGGUACUUGAAGUUGUGAAACCUGAUUUUGAAAAUAAAACUGCCAUGGUCAUUUAUUAUCCUACACUUGAGAUUCCCUUGUUGUGUUUCUGUAUCAUUCUGUGGAUUUUUUGUUGCCACACUGCAAAGAAACAUAGAGAAACACAAGGCUGGCCCCGGAGGUCCCGACACUCUCCUUCUGUAUAUUUCAUCCCGAUAUAUGAAGAGGAGUGGCAAAACGAAGAGGACGAGGAAGUAAUGGACGAAUAUGAACCAUAUUUUCAGUUUCCUUACACAGACCCUCCCAUGUACAGCUUAAGGAAUCUUGAUCCACCAUCCUACACAGACCCUCCACCAUCCUACACAGACCCUUCCACCUAUCCUACACAGACCCUCCACCAUCCUACACAGACCUUCCACUAUCCUACACAGAUCCUUCCACCAUCCUACACAGACCCUCCGGUUCAUUCAGAGCAGCCCUGAUCCUCCUCACCUCCACCCUCCUCCACUUCAAAUGCCCUCUAGCCUGAACAUAUUUGACUUUUUUUUUUUAAAGGGCAGGUUGAUGGAAUCAAAUAAGGGUCAACAUGGUCAAUGUUUGAGUUUCAAAUUCAAACAGCAUAUCAUAAAUGAAAGUGAGGUUAUGAAAAGAAAACAAACUCAAGGCAGCGAACCGUGAAACUGAUAGUUCCCACUCUGCGACACUGAAAUGACUCACGAUCCACUAAUUUACAAGUACAAAUUUUAACCUUCUUUUUACAGCCAAAAUCAGGGUCAAAAUUAUUUGCAUUUCAACUUUACUUUUGUACUUCCUGCUUAAAUCUUCUAAACCAGAUGUUCAAAAAAAAAAAAAGUCAGUUCAUGGUCAUGGUUCAUGUUUUUUCAUGGUCCCUCUGUAACCUCACUGUUGCUAUUACUUUUGCACUAUUUUUAUUUAUUGGAGACAUUCCCAGCUGUUUUCUACAACUACAAAUCCCAUCUACAUGUUCUCUUUGCAGCUUUUGAAAAGAUUUCAUGCAUACAAAGAUUUUGAAAGUCUUCCUGAACAUUAUUAAAAUCUAAAUCUUUUUGGCACUUAUUUGAACCCGUAGAGCUUACAGUAACUUUUAGUACAUGUAUGUUGUUAUAUUCUUUGUUUUGGAAAAUAAUGCACAUGGAAAUGAUCCCCUAUGUGAAAGGAGUAUCUUUAUUUGACUGACACAACUACUUAAUCAUAUGUGUCAUAUGUACAGUAGCCAUGGACGAUAUGAAAAUUACAUAUCAACAUAUCCUGGCUAACAUAAUUGCAAUUAAUGAUAUCAUUGCGAUAAUCAGGAAAAUAUCCUUUAAACUCUUAAAAUGCCUAAAACACACUGAAAACGCU